CCCAGUGGCGGACGGGUGAGUAACGCGUGGGUAACCUGCCCUGUACAGGGGGACAACAGCCGGAAACGGCUGCUAAUACCGCAUAAGCCCGCGGCGCCGCAUGGCGCUGCGGGGAAAACUCCGGUAGUACAGGAUGGGCCCGCGUCUGAUUAGCUAGUUGGCGGGGUAACGGCCCACCAAGGCAGCGAUCAGUAGCCGGCUUGAGAGAGUGGACGGCCACAUUGGGACUGAGACACGGCCCAGACUCCUACGGAAGGCAGCAG
This 263-nucleotide ribosomal RNA is filed under the name uncultured bacterium. Its description in RNAcentral is "partial 16S ribosomal RNA". It matches the Rfam family "Bacterial small subunit ribosomal RNA", at positions 91 to 354 of the family's 1533-position model. The record is from RNAcentral.